This 257-nucleotide long non-coding RNA is filed under the name Trifolium pratense (red clover). RNAcentral's name for it is "long non-coding RNA (TPRA_LNC005119)". The record is from RNAcentral. Lineage: Eukaryota; Viridiplantae; Streptophyta; Magnoliopsida; Fabales; Fabaceae.
CUUCAACCACCUGAAAGAAAAAAGCUUGAUCUUGUCCAAUAAAAUAUGAGGUGUGCCCGUUGAGCCUUUGAACAACCGAUGAUUUCUCUCUGUCCAUAUCACCCAAACACAAGCAAGCCACACAAGCUGCAAAAAGGACCGUCUCGCUCGAGAUCCGCCUAAUGAGGCCGUAAACUGAACAAAAUGAUCACGCAGAGAAGUGGAGUCCACCAAUGUAAUGUCAACCCAUGCGCGAACUAAAUCCCAAAGCGAUCCAG